AAACUUUGGGAGAGUCUGUUCAACAUAAAUGAUGUGGUACACCCAGGGCGAGGCUCUGCCAUUACACUUGGGUGGUGCUGACCCUUGCAAAUUCCCCAAAUGCGGGAAUCUCGACUGCAUACUUUCUGGUAGUGGGGGACUUCAUUCACGCUGUCCCCUG
Molecule: small nuclear RNA, 160 nt
Organism: Pygocentrus nattereri (red-bellied piranha)
Lineage: Eukaryota; Metazoa; Chordata; Actinopteri; Characiformes; Serrasalmidae
Gene: U1
Rfam family: U1 spliceosomal RNA
About the family: U1 is a small nuclear RNA (snRNA) component of the spliceosome (involved in pre-mRNA splicing). Its 5' end forms complementary base pairs with the 5' splice junction, thus defining the 5' donor site of an intron. There are significant differences in sequence and secondary structure between metazoan and yeast U1 snRNAs, the latter being much longer (568 nucleotides as compared to 164 nucleotides in human).
Source: Ensembl